RNA transcript from Drosophila pseudoobscura, 1267 nucleotides. RefSeq lists it as uncharacterized. The record is from RefSeq and is a predicted model, not a curated record. Lineage: Eukaryota; Metazoa; Arthropoda; Insecta; Diptera; Drosophilidae. The transcript has 3 exons.
GGCGGUGCUAGUGCAGCUGUUUUCGUCGACACGUGGCGGAAAAAAGGAAAAUUCCUGUGUAGAGUGGACAAUGCCGAGGGCGCGCAUCCUGGAAGGGGUGGUCAGACGGACAGAGGUCGCCCCCUUCCCUCGGACUCCAUACGACGGAUCCGAGCUAUAAUCAUGGCCGGAAGCUCAGAUUCGAUUGGAGACGAGACGACUGGUUGACAGCUAGGACUACGUGUACUGGAGCGACUGGAACACUAGAGGACAUUGAUCAAGACGGGCCAAUCACACAGGCCCCCAGCUACGACAGACUGCCCGAAUGUGCCGCUGCCGGUGUCCAGCAAGACGACAAGACCGGUGUGGAACGGCGUGCAUCCGGCCUGUAGGCUAGAUAAUUUUAAGUGGCGGGAAUAGUGACAUGAACAACGACUGUAUACCCGCCUCCAGGCGCUGUAACGAAAAGACAGCCGGCGUAUCAGUUCAGCGGACAGUCAGGCGAGGGCAGCGACAAGGCUCUGGUCUGCGAUGGUACAACCAACUGUGACAAUGGCCACGAUGAGGUCGACAGCAGACUUUCAGUGUCACAUCAACAACUUUGCAUUGGCCGCCCUGCUCUACGAUGGCUGGGAACUGAACCGAUGGUGCGAACGAUUCGUUCGAUAUUUUUAUUGCAGGGCGGCGCUUGGCCCUGCCUCGGAUGUUCUCGCGCACCGAGCCAAAGAAUCGAGCUCAGCUUUAAUGGCUCCAUCGAAGAAAAUAAAUAAGUAAGCAGUAAGCAUAGCUAAAAAUGAUUCAAAAUCUCUGCAUACUGAAAUGAGAAUACAUUUCAUGCAUUGAAAUGAAAUGAAACAAGAAACAAGUAUUGAAAGAAAAUAUAUAUUUUCAUAUUUAUUCAUGAAAUAUGAAAAACUCAUUCCACACCACCCAAGAGGUCGAGUUUUUGGGUGGGGCCCAAAGCACCUUGCGAACUUGUGCAGCAACCGUCUCGUAUAAAGGUUCCGUCUGGGUGUCUGGAAGUAUCAAGUUAUUAACAAUAAAUGUAACACUAAUCGUCGAUUUGUACUUUCUUUUUCCAGGUAUUCGUCAUUUGCAUCGCUGGACCUAGGGCUUCCAGCAAACCUUCUGCAGGGGUCGAUCUGGUGGAACACCAUGGAUGAGUCACCCCAUCAACAGCGGCCAUCGCUGCCUACAAAAUCUUUAUAAAUCCCUAUGUAACAGCACUGUACACUAGCAGGAAAUAAAAUAAAAUAAAUAAAAUAGGGUUCCGCGGAAACGAAAAAAA